This is a non-coding RNA of Lupinus angustifolius (narrow-leaved blue lupine), 118 nucleotides long. Lineage: Eukaryota; Viridiplantae; Streptophyta; Magnoliopsida; Fabales; Fabaceae. The record is from Rfam.
AGGUGCAAUCAUACCAUCACUAAUGCACCGGAUCUUAUAUGAACUAUGCACUUAAGUGUGUUCAGGAAGAGUAGUAGUAGGAUGGGUGACCUCCUGGGAAGUCUUUGUGUUGCACCUC